GAAAUGCGAUAAGUAAUGUGAAUUGCAGAAUUCAGUGAAUCAUCGAAUCUUUGAACGCACCUUGCGCUCCUUGGUAUUCCGAGGAGCAUGCCUGUUUGAGUGUCAUUAAAUUCUCAACCCUUCCAGCUUUUGUGGCUGGUCGUGGCUUGGAUGUGGGGGUUGUGCAGGUCUCUCUGUGAGAUCAGCUCCCCUGAAAUGCAUUAGCGGAACCGUUUGCGAUCCGUCACCGGUGUGAUAAUUAUCUACGCCAACGACUUGUGAACGCUCUCUGUUUUGUUCUGCUUCCAACUGCCCUGCAAAGGACAACCAUUUUGAAAUUUUGACCUCAAAUCAGGUAGGACUACCCGCUGAACUUAA
Molecule: unclassified non-coding RNA, 357 nt
Filed under: uncultured Coprinus
Lineage: Eukaryota; Fungi; Basidiomycota; Agaricomycetes; Agaricales; Agaricaceae
Description: sequence contains ITS1
Rfam family: 5.8S ribosomal RNA (bases 1-105)
Source: RNAcentral